AAACCAAAACAAUGACUUUCUACACUCGUUGCCUUCAAGACUUACCCCGUGUCACUAUCAACGAUGUACACCGUCUUAUUAAGGCCUACUCAACCACGGCAUCAAGCAAAAAAGAAAAAGGAUUUAAGCUGUACAUAACCAGCUAUAUUCAUGACUAUGAAGAUUGUUCUCAAAGCCUGUUGAACUGCUGGCAUGCCAGUGCUCAUGUGUGGCAGGGCUUGCGCUAUGCAAUCACAUUGCAGCAUUGCUGUACCAAACCUCACAUUACAGCCAACAGGGAGCAAUAGCUUUCCCCCCUACUCACAGCUGUACAGGGUCUAAGCAACAAUGGCACAAACCCAGGACCCAGGGUUUCAAGCCUGGUCCAACAAAUGAGAUGGUAGUGUUGUCAGCUCGGCCCAAGGAGAGAAGAGUGGCUGAAGGAAUCAGGAGUAACUUAUACAAAGGAGCCUGUAACCUGACCUGUGACCUUCCAGACAUGUCAGUCCUUCGGUUGAAUGACAUCUACCAAGGCAUUCCAAGGGAAACUGCUCCACUAAUAACAACCAUGGGAAUAGCAGGGGGUGUACCAUUAGUAGACAGUGCCUUUGGAAAAGUCCAAGAAGGUAGUGUUCUCUCCUACCAUCUUCCAGCAUGGACUCCACCAAUGACACAUCUACAUGCGACUGCACCACCACAACCAUCCUUACCUCUUGAUGGUUACUCUUUGGGGCCCUCGUAGUGUUGUUUUGUGCUUAACUACCAUCAGCAGCUGCACAUGAAAUCUCUUGAAACAUCAGAGAUCAUGGCGCACCAACUUGAGGAAAGCACAAGACAACAGAGCACACUGAAGGAAUGGCAUCUUCUAAGAAAGCCACGUUGUUUAAAUACUUAGACCAAGUUGUGUGUGUUCAUGCAUUUCUAGAGAGGUUUGCCAUGUGAGAGGACAGUCCUCAGCGGAGAACCUGGCACUCAGGAUUUUAGGGCCAGGUUAUCAGACUGCAGAAAUGAAGAGGGGUCUUCAGAUGGAGCCCAAGGCUGUGGAAGAAUACUAUAUUAGAAUAUAUAAGAAGGAUGUAAACCACUAUCCUUGCGGUUUCAUCAUCCACCCAGAUGCACCAUGGCUCGGGUCAUCACCAGAUGGGUUGGUAUACGACCCGAAUGCUGAGCCUGCGUUUGGACUGCUGGAGGUGAAGUGUCCUAAUGUGAGAAGCUAUGUAGACUGUACGUACCUUAGGGUCUCAGAUGGAGUGCUACAGCUAAAACCAUCUCACACGUACUACUGGCAGGUACAGGGACAACUGCUCAUUACUGGUCUGGAAUGGUGUGAUUUUGUUGUCUAUGCAGAAGAUGGCAUGUUCAUUCAAAGAAUAUAUAGGGAUGGCAGAAUCAUGAAAACAAUGAAAGAAAAGGUUGAUUUCUUCUAUUUUUACUUUUAUCUACCUAUGCUUUUGGCUUGAAAAAAAUCAUGCCAUUGACAGUACUUGUUUCAAUCAGUUUUAAUCAGUUAGUAUUUAUUUUAGGUUUUAGUGUUAAUUUGAUCAUCCAUUUCAAAAACUAAUUUAUCCCAGUGUCUAUUAAACUCCUAAAUAGCCAUAAGUAAAAUGAAGAUCAGGCCUGCAUAGAUAGAGAUACUUUAUUAAUCCCGAAGGAAAUUAAGGUGUCUAAUAUCUUAUACAAAUACACAUAGGCACACAGACAUAUGAAAUCCACGUACACAUACAUAUUACAGAAAUACAAAGGAAGAUAUCUAUAGUGUGCCCUCUCAGUAAAAUUAGAUUGUAGCAUGUUUAAAUGAGCGGUGUGCAAAAAAAGCAGAAAGGUGCAAUGGUAACGUAGUGCAAGAGAGUGCCAGUGCCAACAGUAUCACUCCAGUCCAGGGUAGUUUUUGACGAUGGAGAUUUGUAAUUGUUGUACUUGUGAACUCUCUUUUUUAAUUUAUUUAUUUUAAGUAAUGUUUAACUGAUGCAUUGCAUGACACAAUGUUUGGUUUUAUACACCAUCAGGACCAUUGUACACUCUGUUGUAUGGUGUUGUACAGUAUCUGAUGUUUGUACAUGCUGUCUGAAAUGAUGGACAUAUUUUUUUCCACUGACUGAAAUGUAUUUAAAUUGUUGACUGUAGAACAUGUCACCUUCAAUUACAUAUUUUCUUAUGUUUAUUUGUAUCUAAACACAGUAUUGUGUAAGUGCUGCUUGUAAUGACCACAGUAAAAUACACGU
Molecule: long non-coding RNA, 2201 nt
Organism: Perca flavescens (yellow perch)
Lineage: Eukaryota; Metazoa; Chordata; Actinopteri; Perciformes; Percidae
Exons: 4
Source: RefSeq, a predicted model, not a curated record